CAGCCGUAAACUAUGCGCGUUAGGUGUAUCGGUGACCACGAGUUACCGAGGUGCCGAAGGGAAACCGUGAAACGUGCCGCCUGGGAAGUACGGUCGCAAGGCUGAAACUUAAAGGAAUUGGCGGGGGAGCACCACAACAGGUGGAGCCUGCGGUUUAAUUGGACUCAACGCCGGGAAGCUCACCGGAUAGGACAGCAGAAUGAUUGCCGGGCUGAAGACCCUGCAUGACUAGCUGAGAGGAGGUGCAGUGG
RNAcentral lists this ribosomal RNA (251 nucleotides) under uncultured archaeon. RNAcentral's name for it is "partial 16S ribosomal RNA". It matches the Rfam family "Archaeal small subunit ribosomal RNA", at positions 748 to 998 of the family's 1478-position model. The record is from RNAcentral.